GGGGUAGUAAAGGUUUCGACAGGGGUCUUGCAGCUGGAGAAGCUAUCCGUUGCGACACGUUAAUCGCAAAACUAAACUAAACGCUGAAGAUAAUACUCAGUAUGCACUUGCUGCCUAACCGGCAGUGAGUGACGCGCCUUAUGGCGCUCGUCCGCUCCGGGGCACUCACACCUCGGAAUCCGGGCGUCGACUAUGUGAGAAACGACACGCGUUAAGCUUUGCGCGCGCGGGCGUAAUAUGAAGCUACCUUAAACGGCAGAUUGUUCGUUUUCUGUCGUGGUAGGGAACAGGGCGGGCAAGGCCGCCCCCAAAAACGGACUGUGAUAGAAGAAGGACAGGGAAUGGGUCUUUGGACAGGGGUUCGACUCCCCUCUACUCCACU
RNAcentral lists this transfer-messenger RNA (382 nucleotides) under uncultured Acetatifactor sp. It matches the Rfam family "transfer-messenger RNA". From Rfam's summary of the family: Bacterial tmRNA, also known as 10Sa RNA or SsrA, is named for its dual tRNA and mRNA-like properties. Its role is to liberate the mRNA from a stalled ribosome. The record is from RNAcentral. Lineage: Bacteria; Bacillati; Bacillota; Clostridia; Lachnospirales; Lachnospiraceae.